CCCUGAGAACAUUAUUCCAAUGAUCAAACACUCCAGAGAGAAUGGCUAAAUGGACAGUCAAACUCAGUGAGUUCGAUCUUUCUUAUAUCCCGCAAUCCUCGAUGAAAGCUCAAAUACUUACUGACUUUAUUAUCAAAUGCAUGCCUACUGAUGAUAGCCAAAUCGAGGACCAAUCUCAAGAAGAGACUUCAGAGCCAGCAUGGAU
RNAcentral lists this long non-coding RNA (205 nucleotides) under Elaeis guineensis (African oil palm). RNAcentral's name for it is "long non-coding RNA (EGUI_LNC027541)". Lineage: Eukaryota; Viridiplantae; Streptophyta; Magnoliopsida; Arecales; Arecaceae. The record is from RNAcentral.